Molecule: ribosomal RNA, 104 nt
Filed under: Pteropus alecto (black flying fox)
Lineage: Eukaryota; Metazoa; Chordata; Mammalia; Chiroptera; Pteropodidae
Source: RNAcentral
GUCUAUGGCCAUGCCACCCUGAACAAGCCCGAUGCCUGAUCUUGGAAGCUAAGCAAGGUCAGGCCUGGUUAGUACUUGGAUGGGAAGACCAGGUGCUGCAGGCA